ACUCCUACGGGAGGCAGCAGUGGGGAAUAUUGCACAAUGGGCGCAAGCCUGAUGCAGCCAUGCCGCGUGUAUGAAGAAGGCCUUCGGGUUGUAAAGUACUUUCAGCAGUGAGGAAGGUGGAGUCGUUAAUAGCGGCCUCAUUUGACGUUAGCUGCAGAAGAAGCACCGGCUAACUCCGUGCCAGCAGCCGCGGUAAUACGGAGGGUGCGAGCGUUAAUCGGAAUUACUGGGCGUAAAGCGCGCGUAGGCGGAUCGGAAAGUUGGGGUGAAAUCCCGGGGCUCAACCCCGGAACUGCCUCCAAAAACUAUCGGGUCUAGAGUUCGAGAGAGGUGAGUGAAUUCCGAGUGUAGAGGUGAAAUUCGUAGAUAUUCGGAGGAACACCAGUGGCGAAGGCGGCUCACUGGCUCGAUACUGACGCUGAGGUGCGAAAAGCGUGGGGAGCAAACAGGAUUAGAUACCCUGGUAGCUACGAGU
RNAcentral lists this ribosomal RNA (475 nucleotides) under uncultured bacterium. RNAcentral's name for it is "bacterial SSU rRNA". It matches the Rfam family "Bacterial small subunit ribosomal RNA", at positions 335 to 803 of the family's 1533-position model. The record is from RNAcentral.